RNAcentral lists this non-coding RNA (28 nucleotides) under Mus musculus (house mouse). The record is from RNAcentral. Lineage: Eukaryota; Metazoa; Chordata; Mammalia; Rodentia; Muridae.
UGUGCAUACUCAGCCUGCCAAAGGUGCC